GCGUCGUUAGCUCAAUGGUAGAGCAGCGGACUCUUAAUCCGUUGGUUGUGGGUUCAAGUCCCUCACGACGCACCA
The sequence is a transfer RNA, 75 nucleotides long. It matches the Rfam family "tRNA". From Rfam's summary of the family: Transfer RNA (tRNA) molecules are approximately 80 nucleotides in length. Their secondary structure includes four short double-helical elements and three loops (D, anti-codon, and T loops). Further hydrogen bonds mediate the characteristic L-shaped molecular structure. tRNAs have two regions of fundamental functional importance: the anti-codon, which is responsible for specific mRNA codon recognition, and the 3' end, to which the tRNAs corresponding amino acid is attached (by aminoacyl-tRNA synthetases). tRNAs cope with the degeneracy of the genetic code in two manners: having more than one tRNA (with a specific anti-codon) for a particular amino acid; and 'wobble' base-pairing, i.e. permitting non-standard base-pairing at the 3rd anti-codon position.